Molecule: ribosomal RNA, 253 nt
Filed under: uncultured bacterium
Lineage: Bacteria
Description: partial 16S ribosomal RNA
Rfam family: Bacterial small subunit ribosomal RNA
Source: RNAcentral
GACGGAGGAUGCAAGUGUUAUCCGGAAUCACUGGGCGUAAAGCGUCUGUAGGUGGUCAAAUAAGUCAACUGUUAAAUCUUGAGGCUCAACCUCAAAAUCGCAGUCGAAACUAUUCGACUAGAGUAUAGUAGGGGUAAAGGGAAUUUCCAGUGGAGCGGUGAAAUGCGUAGAGAUUGGAAAGAACACCGAUGGCGAAGGCACUUUACUGGGCUAUUACUAACACUGAGAGACGAAAGCUAGGGGAGCAAAUGGG